GGACACCGCGCGGUGUCGGGGAGGCCCCGGGCGGAGGUUGUGGGCGGUCCGCGCCGCCUUGCGCGGAAAAAGCACCUCCAUAGUUCCCAGCUCCGCGGCCCGCCCCCUCCCUCUCAGCGCCGUGGCCGCUAUAGAAGGGCUGGCGCGGCAGCACAGCCAGCGGCAGUACGGUGCCUGUCCUCGGCAGUGCUGCCUUUAUCUCCACGUUUAUCACAGGGUUGCUGCCGUUCACCUUUCAUACAUCUUUUUUCCCCACGCUGUUUGUGGAGAAAACAGAUGGAGUGAUCCUAUGGGGUGAUUGUAAGCCUCUUGAGUCUCCGCACCUUCGUGACUUCAACACAGUUCCCAAGUAAUACAGGUCUGUUAUUAAACUGUCCAUGUCAUUCUGGGUUGUUGGGUUUGGGGUUUUUUUUUCAACAGCCCUAUUUGCAGCAUAAGAUAGGAGACAGUGGAAAAACCGUUAAGGAAAAAAUUACACUGAAGUUAUAAAAGGAAAUAAAGUCCACUGUUUGGUACUGACUUAACA
This 526-nucleotide long non-coding RNA is filed under the name Junco hyemalis (dark-eyed junco). RNAcentral's name for it is "lncRNA (ENSJHYG00000009137.1)". The record is from RNAcentral. Lineage: Eukaryota; Metazoa; Chordata; Aves; Passeriformes; Passerellidae.